GUUAAUAAAACCUCUGAAUUGUGGUUUCAGAAAUGUCUUGAAGGCCCUCUUUC
This 53-nucleotide transfer RNA is filed under the name Eisenia nordenskioldi nordenskioldi. RNAcentral's name for it is "tRNA-His". The record is from RNAcentral. Lineage: Eukaryota; Metazoa; Annelida; Clitellata; Crassiclitellata; Lumbricidae.